This 253-nucleotide ribosomal RNA is filed under the name uncultured bacterium. RNAcentral describes it as "partial 16S ribosomal RNA". It matches the Rfam family "Bacterial small subunit ribosomal RNA", at positions 524 to 776 of the family's 1533-position model. The record is from RNAcentral.
UACGGAGGGUGCUAGCGUUGUUCGGAAUUACUGGGCGUAAAGGGCGCGUAGGCGGCCUGCUAAGUCGAACGUGAAAUCCCCGGGCUCAACCCGGGAACUGCGUCCGAUACUGGCAGGCUUGAAUCCGGGAGAGGGAUGUGGAAUUCCAGGUGUAGCGGUGAAAUGCGUAGAUAUCUGGAGGAACACCGGUGGCGAAGGCGGCAUCCUGGACCGGUAUUGACGCUGAUGCGCGAAAGCCAGGGGAGCAAACGGG